AUGAACGCUAGCGGGAGGCUUAAUACAUGCAAGUUGAGGGGCAGCAUGAUAUACGCGAGUAUAUUGAUGGCGACCGGCGGACGGGUGAGUAAUAGGUAGGAGACCUACCUCAUACAGGGGGAUAGCAUAGAGAAAUCUGUGGUAAUACCCCAUGAGGUUAUAUGAAUAGAGGCAUAUAAUCAAAGCAUAAGCGAUUAUGCGGUAUGAGAGGGGCCUACUGACCAUUAGCUAGUUGGUGAGGUAAGGGCUCACCAAGGCGAAGAUGGUUAGGGGUUUUGAGAGAGAGACCCCCCACAUUGGAACUGAGAGACGGUCCAGACUCCUACGGGAGGCAGCAGUAGGGAAUAUUGGUCAAUGGGCGCAAGCCUGAACCAGCCAUCCCGCGUGCAGGAAGACGGCCCUAUGGGUUGUAAACUGCUUUUCCAGGGAGAGAAACUUACGCACGUGUUGCGUGACUGACGGUACCGCUAAAGGAAGCACCGGCUAACUCCGUG
Molecule: ribosomal RNA, 494 nt
Filed under: uncultured bacterium
Lineage: Bacteria
Description: bacterial SSU rRNA
Rfam family: Bacterial small subunit ribosomal RNA
Source: RNAcentral